AGCUUUAAGGAAAGCUCUUUGUUUUUUGAAAGGGUGCUUUUAUGAGAUAGAGCUUUUUUAGAUAAUGCUUUUUUAGAUAAUGCUGGGGAAGGUUUUCCGGUUUAUCUCGGAGGGCUUGUAGCUCAGUUGGUUAGAGCGCGCGCUUGAUAAGCGUGAGGUCGGAGGUUCAAGUCCUCCCAGGCCCACCAAUUUACCUAUCCAUUUGCCUUUAUCUGUUUAUUUGCCGAUUUAUCGGUCCAUUGAAUUUAAGUGUUGGUAGCAGUUUUAUAAUGAUGAGAAAUCAUGCUUAUAAAAGAACUCCUUAUAAAAGGCUUGUUUUUAAAAUGUGACGCUUAUCCAUUUCGCUUAGGUAAGAGAAACUUCAAGCGGUUCAAAUACAAAAGGCUUUAAGUUUUGCAAAACACUUUGAAUUUUGCAAAACACUUUGAAUUUUAAAGUGAUCCAAGUUCGUGAUCUCGAAUUUAAAAGUUUCGAAUGCUUUAUCCUUUUUUGGGGGCCGUAGCUCAGCUGGGAGAGCACCUGCUUUGCAAGCAGGGG
Molecule: unclassified non-coding RNA, 537 nt
Filed under: uncultured Bartonella sp.
Lineage: Bacteria; Pseudomonadati; Pseudomonadota; Alphaproteobacteria; Hyphomicrobiales; Bartonellaceae
Description: partial 16S-23S ribosomal RNA intergenic spacer
Rfam family: tRNA (bases 112-185)
Source: RNAcentral